GACCAGCUAGCCCAACUGGCCAGAGCAGCGGGCCUUUAACCCGCAGGUUAUGAGUUCGAAUCUCAUGCUGGUCA
This 74-nucleotide transfer RNA is filed under the name Candidatus Latescibacterota bacterium. RNAcentral's name for it is "tRNA-Lys". It matches the Rfam family "tRNA". From Rfam's summary of the family: Transfer RNA (tRNA) molecules are approximately 80 nucleotides in length. Their secondary structure includes four short double-helical elements and three loops (D, anti-codon, and T loops). The record is from RNAcentral. Lineage: Bacteria; Pseudomonadati; Candidatus Latescibacterota.